Molecule: non-coding RNA, 1044 nt
Organism: Anas platyrhynchos (mallard)
Lineage: Eukaryota; Metazoa; Chordata; Aves; Anseriformes; Anatidae
Source: RefSeq, a predicted model, not a curated record
UGGUUGCCGGCCUGUUAAAUUUCAAAUUUCUUUUGACGUUUUUACCAAGCAGGGAGGCCAAGCGCAGUCUUCCUGCACCAAAGAUACACCAGCAGACAAGCCAGCAACGUGCCAGAAACAAGAGCCGUCCCAGGGACUUUUGGAUGGGCCUGUUCAGAGCAGCGAGCAGGAGCAAGGGCUAGGAAAACGCAGGGGGGCUGGCUGGUCCUGGGCCACCCCUCCCCUUGGGUGCUGGUGCAGGGGGAAGGCAGGGGCUUGCCCAUCACCCGCUCAGGCCCUAACCUACACCUCUCUGUCUCCCACAGGCAUCCAUGACCUCACACAAGCCCCGGCACACCAGCCACGGCCCGCCCACAUCAGGAGACAGGCGCUUCGGGCUCUGCGCAGUGCUUUGUGCUGCAGCUUCAUCGCAGAAGAGUGGGAGUAGCAGCGCCCAGCUGCCAGCACCAGGAGGGCGCUCGGAGCUGUACGCUGACAUCACUGAAAGGAACAGGACAGUGCCCCAGGAAUUCAGAUGCCCCUCCACAUCCUGCCCCCAGCCUCAGCUCAUCUGCAGCUGCCUUCUGCUGGGAAUAAAAGCUCAGGCAGAGUUUUGCUCCCAGUGCUCCUCUCUGUGUCGUUGAUCUCAGGAGAAAGAGUGGUGCAGACCACGCCAACCUGCUUCCCGUAGCAUUCAACACCGUGCAGCGCUGCAUUCAGGAGACCCUGCUCUUUCUCUCCUACACCCUUGCAAAGAAGCAGGCUGUUGAUUUCAUCUUCAAGGACAUCGGCCGUCUGGUCUCCCGCAAGAGCAGAGUCCAAAUGCACUUUUCCUCCGACUUUGUUCACAACCUGAAUAGCAACGGCCAGCUGUUGAAAUGCCGCCUCACUAGGUUAAGCACAACGGAUUUGGCCACAUCGAAGAGAAAAAGCAUGGUCUCACAUCCAGCUUCUCGAGGUGUCAUCAUCUUUUCCACGAUUGGGCUCUACAUACCUCGGGGAAGAGCUGCAGGGGAAGGGUCUCUCCAAGCACCCAAGGGUUCUGCUUUGGAGAAGAAGGGAGAU